CGCCAGCGAUAAAUUGGUAUCGCUGAAGGGCCAAUCGGGGCCAGAGAU
RNAcentral lists this non-coding RNA (48 nucleotides) under unclassified sequences. Its description in RNAcentral is "gut-2 RNA". It matches the Rfam family "gut-2 RNA". Rfam says of the family: gut metagenomes. Environment (Cow rumen (57)) The record is from Rfam by way of RNAcentral.